AGCAGGGCUGCCGCUUGAGGUGGGUAUGAGCACAGAGCUGCUUGAGUUUGGGAUUUCAAAUUUGUUCUGGUGCAUAGGGUAUUAGGUUUUGGACUUUGGAGCCAUUCUAGCUAGGAACUUGAACUCCAGGUGAGUUUCUUCUUCUUACUGGUUAAGUAUAACUUCUCUUCUCUGUUCAGUGCAGAUGAAGUUCCUUUUUUUGAACGAGUCUUCUUAAUGAUUUGUCCUAUGGGUAAUUCUUAAUGAUUUGUCCUAUGGGUAAUCUUAAGCCUGUAACUUUAUCUAGAGUUGCUAAAAGGCACUGGCAUUCUUUGAUAAAAGGUUUCUAAACUUUCAGGUAUUUCUGUUUUGGCUGUCAAAAGCCUCCAUAAUUAAUAUAUUUUCUUCUACUUAUGUGUCUAGCUAUCUCUUCUCUUCACAGCUUCUCUUUUGCAUCUUGAUAUUGAUGCAUUGAAAAGUUAAAUUUACAGAACCUUCAAUAUCGUUGAUUUCCACUUAAGGAUUGGAGCUUCUAUCUGCAGCUAGAAUGAGGAUUGGCACAAAACUACUUCAGAGACUACAAUUGCUUGUUGCCACGCAGUAAGUCUGUCAUUGCAACUUUGAUUCUAAUAAAUUUUCGUUAUUCCUUACUUUCGAAAGGUUCUUUUUUCCUUCUAUGGAAAAAUACCACUGUAUAAACAGAGAUCCACCAAUUGCUUAUUUUUCAUUGUUAGGUUUCAGUGUUUUUCACUAUAUAGUCUAUAGAUUAGUGAUCACACUUUCAGGUGGAAGGCAGACAGAACGCUUAGAUUGUUGCUGUGGUUCAUACUUUAUGAGCUUGGAAUACGAAA
RNAcentral lists this long non-coding RNA (830 nucleotides) under Aquilegia coerulea. RNAcentral describes it as "long non-coding RNA (ACOE_LNC000103)". The record is from RNAcentral. Lineage: Eukaryota; Viridiplantae; Streptophyta; Magnoliopsida; Ranunculales; Ranunculaceae.